Molecule: ribosomal RNA, 434 nt
Filed under: uncultured Oscillospiraceae bacterium
Lineage: Bacteria; Bacillati; Bacillota; Clostridia; Eubacteriales; Oscillospiraceae
Description: bacterial SSU rRNA
Rfam family: Bacterial small subunit ribosomal RNA
Source: RNAcentral
ACGGGAGGCAGCAGUGGGGAAUAUUGCACAAUGGGGGAAACCCUGAUGCAGCGACGCCGCGUGGAGGAAGAAGGUCUUCGGGUUGUAAACUCCUGUCGUUAGGGACGAUAAUGACGGUACCUAACAAGAAAGCCACGGCUAACUACGUGCCAGCAGCCGCGGUAAAACGUAGGUGGCAAGCGUCGUCCGGAAUUACUGGGUGUAAAGGGAGCGCAGGCGGGUCGACAAGUUGGAAGUGAAAACUAUGGGCUCAACCCAUAGCCUGCUUUCAAAACUGCCGAUCUUGAGUACUGUAGAGGUAGAUGGAAUUCCCGGUGUAGCGGUGGAAUGCGUAGAUAUCGGGAGGAACACCAGUGGCGAAGGCGAUCUACUGGGCAGCAACUGACGCUGAGGCGCGAAAGUGUGGGGAGCAAACAGGAUUAGAUACCCUGGUA